AUGGUGCAUUUGAACCGAAGUGAUAGUUUCUCUCAUCAUGUUGAAAGAGUUGUGAAUCGGCUUGAAGGUUCGAACAAAAAGUUGAUGUCGUUAGGUGGGAAUAAAAUUCUUUUGAUACCCGUUAUCCAGUCUAUUCCUAUGUAUGCUAUGGUUGUUUUCAAAAUCCCAAAAAAAGUGUGCAAAGAAGUUACAGAUGUAACAGAAGCCUUUUGGUGAGGGGACACACAGGAGGAAAAGAAAAUGCAUUGGCUAGCUUGAUGGAGGAUGUGUCUUCCAAAAGAUAAGUGGGGCAUGGGGUUUAGCGAUUCGGGUGCAUCUAAUUCAGCCAUGUUAACCAAGCGAAGGUGGAGAAUGAUAACUCACUUUGUUACUCUUUGUGCUACGUUCUUAAGAGCGAAGUACUUUUCUGAUGGAAAAGUUCAAAAAGCAAACACUUUUCUAAUGGAAACAUUCUGA
RNAcentral lists this ribosomal RNA (456 nucleotides) under Triticum aestivum (bread wheat). Its description in RNAcentral is "partial small subunit ribosomal RNA". Lineage: Eukaryota; Viridiplantae; Streptophyta; Magnoliopsida; Poales; Poaceae. The record is from RNAcentral.